Molecule: ribosomal RNA, 468 nt
Filed under: uncultured bacterium
Lineage: Bacteria
Description: partial 16S ribosomal RNA
Rfam family: Bacterial small subunit ribosomal RNA
Source: RNAcentral
GACGAACGCUGGCGGCGUGCUUAACACAUGCAAGUCGAACGGAAAGGCCCUGCUUUUGUGGGGUGCUCGAGUGGCGAACGGGUGAGUAACACGUGAGUAACCUGCCCUUGACUUUGGGAUAACUUCAGGAAACUGGGGCUAAUACCGGAUAGGAGCUCCUGCUGCAUGGUGGGGGUUGGAAAGUUUCGGCGGUUGGGGAUGGACUCGCGGCUUAUCAGCUUGUUGGUGGGGUAGUGGCUUACCAAGGCUUUGACGGGUAGCCGGCCUGAGAGGGUGACCGGCCACAUUGGGACUGAGGUACGGCCCAGACUCCAACGGGAGGCAGCAGUGGGGAAUAUUGCACAAUGGGCGGAAGCCUGAUGCGGCAACGCCGCGUGCGGGAUGACGGCCUUCGGGUUGUAAACCGCUUUCGCCUGUGACGAAGCGUGAGUGACGGUAAUGGGUAAAGAAGCACCGGCUAACUACGUG